GACGAACGCUGACGGCGUGCUUUAGACAUGCAAGUCGAACGAGAACACCCUUCGGGGCGUAGUAAAGUGGCGAACGGGUGAGUAACACGUGGGCAACCUGCCCCUCGCAGGGGGACAACCGGAGGAAACUCCGGCUAAUACCCCGUAAGCUUGUCGGACCGCAUGGCACUGACAAGGAAAGGUAGCUUCGGCCAUCCGGCGAGGGAUGGGCCCGCGGUACAUUAGCUAGUUGGUGGGGUAACGGCCCACCAAGGCGACGAUGUAUAGCUGGUCUGAGAGGAUGAUCAGCCACACUGGGACUGAGACACGGCCCAGACUCCUACGGGAGGCAGCAGUCGGGAAUCUUGCGCAAUGGGCGAAAGCCUGACGCAGCAACGCCGUGUGGGUGAGGAA
RNAcentral lists this ribosomal RNA (393 nucleotides) under uncultured bacterium. Its description in RNAcentral is "bacterial SSU rRNA". It matches the Rfam family "Bacterial small subunit ribosomal RNA", at positions 28 to 412 of the family's 1533-position model. The record is from RNAcentral.